AUUUAUAUAAUAUAUUUAGUAUAUUUGACUUCCAAUCAAAAAGUUUAAAUUCUGUUUAAUAUAAGUA
RNAcentral lists this transfer RNA (67 nucleotides) under Operophtera brumata (winter moth). RNAcentral's name for it is "tRNA-Gly". It matches the Rfam family "tRNA". Rfam says of the family: Transfer RNA (tRNA) molecules are approximately 80 nucleotides in length. Lineage: Eukaryota; Metazoa; Arthropoda; Insecta; Lepidoptera; Geometridae. The record is from RNAcentral.